This 672-nucleotide ribosomal RNA is filed under the name uncultured Vibrionaceae bacterium. RNAcentral describes it as "bacterial SSU rRNA". It matches the Rfam family "Bacterial small subunit ribosomal RNA", at positions 1 to 671 of the family's 1533-position model. The record is from RNAcentral. Lineage: Bacteria; Pseudomonadati; Pseudomonadota; Gammaproteobacteria; Vibrionales; Vibrionaceae.
UAGAGUUUGAUCAUGGCUCAGAUUGAACGCUGGCGGCAGGCUUAACACAUGCAAGUCGAGCGGUAACAGGAAUAGCUUGCUAUUUGCUGACGAGCGGCGGACGGGUGAGUAAUGCUUGGGAAUAUGCCUUAUGUGGGGGACAACAGUUGGAAACGACUGCUAAUACCGCGUAAUGUCUACGGACCAAAGGGGGGGAUCUUCGGACCUCUCGCCAUUUGAUUAGCCCAAGUGAGAUUAGCUAGUUGGUAAGGUAAUGGCUUACCAAGGCGACGAUCUCUAGCUGGUUUGAGAGGAUGAUCAGCCACACUGGGACUGAGACACGGCCCAGACUCCUACGGGAGGCAGCAGUGGGGAAUAUUGCACAAUGGGGGGAACCCUGAUGCAGCCAUGCCGCGUGUGUGAAGAAGGCCUUCGGGUUGUAAAGCACUUUCAGUUGUGAGGAAAGGUGUGUAGUUAAUAGCUGCAUACUGUGACGUUAACAACAGAAGAAGCACCGGCUAACUUCGUGCCAGCAGCCGCGGUAAUACGAGGGGUGCAAGCGUUAAUCGGAAUUACUGGGCGUAAAGCGUUCGUAGGCGGUUGAAUAAGCAAGAUGUGAAAGCCCAGGGCUCAACCUUGGAACUGCAUUUUGAACUGUUCGACUAGAGUACUGUAGAGGGGGGUAGAAUUUCA